AUGGUUAUGGUUGACGACAUGAGGACACUUAACCCAAUAAGGAUUGCAGCUGAUCACGUGGCGACUGAUGGUAAUCGCAACGGGGGGCGGAAGAGAGCUGGUGGUCAUGAGGAUGCUCCUAGGCGUAAGAAGGUCAGGUUCUUGUCUGAAAUUGUCUCGCAGCCAGAGCCAGUGAUGAUCACACAUGACCCAACACCGGUGGAAGAGCGUGUGGCACAUGAUGACCAGGCUGUCCCAGAAAUAAAUGAGAACAUCUCUGGGGCUGUUGGUGUGGCGUCUGGUAGUGAAGUGUUCCCCCCCGGAUUUGGUCCUCUGCGACGGAUUUCUAAACAGGACAAGGGGAAAGAGGCGGUUGUUCUGGAGGAUCCCGUUAUUGAAGCGAUACGCAGAGCGAUGGCAGGAGGUGGGCCGAUGAUAAGAGACGGUGGUCAAGGUGGGCCGAUGAUACGAAACGGUGGGCAGCAUGCUGCACCUGAUGAUGAUGAUGUCCGAGUACCACCGCAUCUUGGGCAGUUCAUUAAGCCUAAGAAGGAGAUGAGGGAGAAGUACCCAGGCAAGCUAGGUCUGCAUCCAGAUGAGCCGAUUGGAUGUGAUGUCAUGGGGUUGUUCGACAAGAUGGACGGAUGCUCUACCAUGGAGUUUGCAAGGCCAUGGUACAUUCAUACCCACCCAUACACCACACAGAUGACUGGGACGCAGAUCCAGAUGUACUUUGACCGGGAUGGUGAUCCUGAGCGGAAGGAGGAGGCAAUCAUUUUUUGUGGAUUGCCAGAACGGUUUAGGAUGAUACCAGACUUCAGGCUCACGGCAGAAUUGUCUGAAGCCGAGCGGGCAUCAGACCUUGACUACGAGUAUAUUGCAACCAUGAUAACAGAGGAGCACACUGGAGUCAGGAUUGAAGCGUGCCAAGAAGUACUGCUGUUGUUGAAGCAGCACAAUAGCUGGGCUGUGUAUGCAGUUAACUUAGAGAAGAAAAAUUGCCUGGUGAUGGACCCAGUGGAGACACAAGAACUACCUAAUGAGGUGCAGGAUAAACACAAGAAAAACGGCACGAGGGUGAUUUCUAACCUGUGGCGUUGCAUACACGAGUGCAUUCCUGGGGUCCGUGUGUCGUCAGAAGGGUGGACACUGCACUUCAAGACGGGAGUGCAUGGUCACUGUGACAGGGAGGAAAGCUGGUUCUAUGCAAUGCACUGCCUCCGUGACUACAAUGGGGAGAGAGUUACCGCACUGACUGAGGGGCAGCUUGACUACAUGGCGAAAUCGCUGGUGUACAAGAUGGUGACGAUGAAGGAAAACAGGGCAAGGCUUCCAUUCUGCCUCCGGGCAACCACCGAAUAG
RNAcentral lists this ribosomal RNA (1341 nucleotides) under Triticum aestivum (bread wheat). RNAcentral describes it as "partial small subunit ribosomal RNA". Lineage: Eukaryota; Viridiplantae; Streptophyta; Magnoliopsida; Poales; Poaceae. The record is from RNAcentral.